GACGAACCGUGCAAACGUUGUUCGGAAUCACUGGGCUUAAAGGGCGCGUAGGCGGCAGACCAAGUCCGGGGUGAAAUCUUUCGGCUUAACCGGAAAAGGGCCUUGGAUACUGGUUUGCUCGAGGGAGGUAGGGGUCUGUGGAACUUCUGGUGGAGCGGUGAAAUGCGUUGAUAUCAGAAGGAACGCCGGUGGCGAAAGCGACGGACUGGAUCUCUUCUGACGCUGAGGCGCGAAAGCCAGGGGAGCAAACGGG
RNAcentral lists this ribosomal RNA (253 nucleotides) under uncultured bacterium. RNAcentral's name for it is "partial 16S ribosomal RNA". It matches the Rfam family "Bacterial small subunit ribosomal RNA", at positions 524 to 776 of the family's 1533-position model. The record is from RNAcentral.